Molecule: ribosomal RNA, 493 nt
Filed under: uncultured bacterium
Lineage: Bacteria
Description: bacterial SSU rRNA
Rfam family: Bacterial small subunit ribosomal RNA
Source: RNAcentral
GAUGAACGCUAGCGGCAGGCUUAACACAUGCAAGUCGAGGGGUAUAGUAGCAAUACUAGAGACCGGCGCACGGGUGCGUAACGCGUAUGCAAUCUACCUUUUGCAGAGGGAUAGCCCAGAGAAAUUUGGAUUAAUACCUCAUAGUAUUAUAGUAUGGCAUCAUAUUAUAAUUAAAGUCACAACGGCAAAAGAUGAGCAUGCGUCCCAUUAGUUAGUUGGUAAGGUAACGGCUUACCAAGACUACGAUGGGUAGGGGUCCUGAGAGGGAGAUCCCCCACACUGGUACUGAGACACGGACCAGACUCCUACGGGAGGCAGCAGUGAGGAAUAUUGGACAAUGGGCGCAAGCCUGAUCCAGCCAUGCCGCGUGCAGGAUGACGGUCCUAUGGAUUGUAAACUGCUUUUCCAGGGGGUGAAACUCCCGUACGAGUACGGGACUGACGGUACCUUGGGAAUAAGCAUCGGCUAACUCCGUGCCAGCAGCCGCGGUAAA